CCCUAUGGGAGGGGGAUAUCUCGGGAACUGAGAAUAAUGCCCGAUAGAACAUUAUGCCUGGAAUGGUUUAUGUUUCAAAUGAUUCAUCGCCAUAGGAUGGGACUGCGGCCUAUCAGUUUGUUGGUGAGGUAAUGGCCCACCAAGACUAUUACAGGUACGGGCUCUGAGAGGAGUGGCCCGGAGAUGGGUACUGAGACACGGACCCAGGCCCUAUGGGGCGCAGCAGGCGAGAAAACUUUGCAAUGUGCGAAAGCACGACAAGGUUAAUCCGAGUGGUUUCUGCUAAAGAAACCUUUUGCCAGUCCUAGAAACACUGGUGAAUAAGGGGUGGGCAAGUUCUGGUGUCAGCCGCCGCGGUAAAACCAGCACCUCAAGUGGUCAGGAUGAUUAUUGGGCCUAAAGCAUCCGUAGCUCGUUUUGUAAGUUUUCGGUUAAAUCCAUGCGCUUAACGUAUGGGCUGCCGGGAAUACUGCAUAACUAGGAAGUGGGAGAGGUAGACGGUACUCGGUAGGAAGGGGUAAAAUCCUUUGAUCUAUUGAUGACCACCUGUGGCGAAGGCGGUCUACCAGAACACGUUCGACGGUGAGGGAUGAAAGCUGGGGGAGCAAACCGGAUUAGAUACCCGGGUAGUCCCAGCUGUAAACUAUGCAAACUCAGUGAUGCAUUGGCUUGUGGCCAAUGCAGUGCUACAGGGAAGCCGUUAAGUUUGCCGCCUGGGAAGUACGUACGCAAGUAUGAAACUUAAAGGAAUUGGCGGGGGAGCAC
Molecule: ribosomal RNA, 765 nt
Filed under: uncultured archaeon
Lineage: Archaea
Description: bacterial SSU rRNA
Rfam family: Archaeal small subunit ribosomal RNA
Source: RNAcentral